This 107-nucleotide small nucleolar RNA is filed under the name Zea mays. RNAcentral describes it as "Small nucleolar RNA Z103". It matches the Rfam family "Small nucleolar RNA Z103". From Rfam's summary of the family: This family consists of several snoRNA Z103 sequences which are members of the C/D class of snoRNA which contain the C (UGAUGA) and D (CUGA) box motifs. This family seems to be found exclusively in plants. Lineage: Eukaryota; Viridiplantae; Streptophyta; Magnoliopsida; Poales; Poaceae. The record is from Rfam by way of RNAcentral.
UUUGAUGUGACGAUCCUUUCCCCAAAUUACCGACUUUGAUUAUACUGUGCGAUUUUUCGAGUUCUGUCUCCUCGGAGAUGGCUCUUAAGCCAGAUAUUCUGAUCGAA